UACGGGGGGGCAAGCGUUGUUCGGAAUUCCUGGGCGUAAAGGGCGCGUAGGCGGCCUUCUAAGUCAGACGUGAAAUCCCUCGGCUCAACCGAGGAACUGCGUCUGAUACUGGAAGGCUUGAAUCCGGGAGAGGGAUGUGGAAUUCCAGGUGUAGCGGUGAAAUGCGUAGAUAUCUGGAGGAACACCGGUGGCGAAGGCGGCAUCCUGGACCGGUAUUGACGCUGAGGCGCGAAAGCUAGGGGAGCAAACGGG
This 252-nucleotide ribosomal RNA is filed under the name uncultured bacterium. Its description in RNAcentral is "partial 16S ribosomal RNA". It matches the Rfam family "Bacterial small subunit ribosomal RNA", at positions 524 to 776 of the family's 1533-position model. The record is from RNAcentral.